This 940-nucleotide ribosomal RNA is filed under the name uncultured bacterium. RNAcentral describes it as "bacterial SSU rRNA". It matches the Rfam family "Bacterial small subunit ribosomal RNA", at positions 8 to 916 of the family's 1533-position model. The record is from RNAcentral.
AGAGUUUGAUCAUGGCUCAGAACGAACGCUGGCAGCGUGGAUUAGGCAUGCAAGUCGAACGAGAUUCCUUGUGAUAGCAAUAUUAUGAGGAUGACAGUGGCGAAAGGGUGAGUAACGCGUGGGCAACCUGCCCUUAAGUUGGGGACAACCCCGCGAAAGCGGGGCUAAUACCGAAUGUGGUGUUCCGUCGCAUGGCGGGGCUACCAAAGAUGGGGAUCUUCGGACCUGUCGCUUGAGGAGGGGCCCGCGUGCCAUCAGCUAGUUGGUGAGGUAACGGCUCACCAAGGCUGCAACGGCUAGCCGACCUGAGAGGGCGAUCGGCCACACUGGGACUGAGACACUGCCCAGACUCCUACGGGAGGCUGCAGUCGAGGAUCAUUCGCAAUGCGCGAAAGCGUGACGAUGCGACGCUGCGUGGAGGAUGAAGGCCUUCGGGUUGUAAACUCCUGUCGAGAGGGAAAAACCGUCCCGCUCACAACAUGGGCGGGGCCUGAUGGUACCUCUAAAGGAAGCCACGGCUAACUCUGUGCCAGCAGCCGCGGUAAUACAGAGGUGGCGAGCGUUGUUCGGAUUUACUGGGCGUAAAGGGUGCGUAGGUGGUUCCGCAAGUCGGGUGUGAAAGCCCACGGCUCAACCGUGGAAUGGCAUUCGAAACUGCGGGGCUAGAGUGCAGGAGGGGAGAGCGGAAUUCUUGGUGUAGCGGUGAAAUGCGUUGAUAUCAAGAAGAACACCGGUGGCGUAGGCGGCUCUCUGGAAUGCAACUGACACUGAGGCACGAAAGCCGGGGGAGCAAACAGGAUUAGAUACCCUGGUAGUCCCGGCUGUAAACGGUGUGCACUUGGUGUAGGGGGUAUUUGACCCCCCCUGUGCCGGAGCGAACGCGUUAAGUGCACCGCCUGGGGAGUACGGCCGCAAGGCUAAAACUCAAAUGAAUUGACGG